UGACCACGCUAAGCACAUGGUCAAAUACAAAGCACUUACAUGUGCUCUUUACACUAAGCCAGCACACUAAGAGUACGCUGCGCCAGACGAAUUUUGUCACCAUAAUCAUACAGCCUUUCCCAGACAAAGUUCCAGAGCACGAGCCACAAAGGGCAGAGCCUUUCCGAAACGCUUUGAUGACCUGGCCCGUUCCGGGAAGGUGGGGCUGCUCUGCACAGAGGCGGCAACAGCACCGUUUCUUCGAAUUUCGGUUACUUCAUAUUUCAUCGCGGACACUAUUUGUUUUGGUAAAGAUCCGCUGCUCCGAGAAUUGCAGGGAGAGCUGCUGACGGCCGACUCGACACCAAGCCCGGGCAAGCUUGGGGCAGUAACCGAGCGAGCAGGAAUCGCUUGUUAGAGCGAUGCAGCCGGUGCGUGCCCGCACUCUCCCGAUGGGUGGUGCUGCGGGGACAGCGCUUGGUGGCCCUGCCCGACAAGCCGCCACCUCCCCCCGAGCCCCUUGGCUCCAGCCCCCGGGACCAGAGCGGGAUGAGGGGGUGCUGCUGCUGCUGCUGCUGCUGCUGCUGCUCUCCGAAGGGUUAAAAGCCUUCGAGCCCCAUGCGCAGGAGGCGUCUGGGCAGUGUGGGGGAGAAAUGCAGAAAAACUGCAGGCCACUGAUUGCGGGUGUAGUUCUCUUGGAUGACUCCUUGUGGGAAGAAAUAUCUGGGAAGCCACGGUUUCAAUACAGUGGCGAAGACUAUGGAAGUCAUUGCAAUCAAUUGGCAGAGAGAUGGCAAAACUGCAGCUUUGCCUGGAGAAGAGGGAUUUCCACAAGUUCUUUUCCCUUCUGGACUGGUGUUGACCGAUUUCUUCCACGUAUUGGAGUAGCUGUUUUCCAGUUCUAGUGAGUGACUCUGGUUUCUGGAGAAAGUAAGCCACCAGGAAAUUGCACUAAUAUUGAAUCACUGUUCUGUACACAUCAUCGUUCUGUACAGAUGUUUUCCAUGGUGAGGAAGUUGUUGUUAGGUAGGUUUUACAAUUUUAUGCUGCA
Molecule: long non-coding RNA, 1030 nt
Filed under: Manacus vitellinus (golden-collared manakin)
Lineage: Eukaryota; Metazoa; Chordata; Aves; Passeriformes; Pipridae
Description: lncRNA (ENSMVIG00005019963.1)
Source: RNAcentral